Non-coding RNA from Paramuricea clavata, 310 nucleotides. The record is from the annotation of a GenBank genome assembly. Lineage: Eukaryota; Metazoa; Cnidaria; Anthozoa; Malacalcyonacea; Plexauridae.
UUCAGCAGUCUUUUUUUCCCAUGCUUCUCUACGCUUUCCCAGGCGAGCUUCUCUUUCCUCAGCAGUCUCCUCGAACAAACGUUGUCGUCUUCGCUGGCUUCCUCCUCUUAGCGAUGCGUUCGGCUUUCUUUUCGUUUCCUUGCCGCUCUUCAUUUGGCUCCAUACAGUAGUCCAUAUCUUUUCAAUUGGCAUUUGAUACCAUAAUUGUUUUAUUAAACUCUUUAUAGAGCAAAUUGCUUUGAAAGCUGUCAAAGUUUUUGCAAACGUACAAAAUACUGCAGUGCAAAAAGCAAAUUAUUUUCAUGAAGUA